RNAcentral lists this ribosomal RNA (482 nucleotides) under uncultured bacterium. RNAcentral describes it as "partial 16S ribosomal RNA". It matches the Rfam family "Bacterial small subunit ribosomal RNA", at positions 29 to 505 of the family's 1533-position model. The record is from RNAcentral.
AUCGAACGCUGGCGGAAUGCUUUACACAUGCAAGUCGAACGGCAGCACGGGGGCAGCCCUGGUGGCGAGUGGCGAACGGGUGAGUAAUACAUCGGAACGUGCCCGGUCGUGGGGGAUAACGUAGCGAAAGUUACGCUAAUACCGCAUACGAUCUGAGGAUGAAAGCGGGGGACCUUCGGGCCUCGCGCGAUCGGAGCGGCCGAUGUCAGAUUAGGUAGUUGGUGGGGUAAAGGCCUACCAAGCCGACGAUCUGUAGCUGGUCUGAGAGGACGACCAGCCACACUGGGACUGAGACACGGCCCAGACUCCUACGGGAGGCAGCAGUGGGGAAUUUUGGACAAUGGGCGCAAGCCUGAUCCAGCCAUUCCGCGUGCAGGACGAAGGCCUUCGGGUUGUAAACUGCUUUUGUACGGAACGAAAAGGCUCUGGCUAAUACCUGGGGCUCAUGACGGUACCGUAAGAAUAAGCACCGGCUAACUACG